GCCUGGCUGGCUCAGUGGGUGGAGUGUGUGACUCUUGAUCUUGGGGUCCUGAGUUCAAGCCCCACGCUGGGCA
Ailuropoda melanoleuca (giant panda) is the source of this 73-nucleotide non-coding RNA. NCBI's taxonomy places the organism in Eukaryota, Metazoa, Chordata, Mammalia, Carnivora, Ursidae. The record is from Rfam.